CCUACGGGUGGCUGCAGUGGGGAAUAUUGGGCAAUGGAGGCAACUCUGACCCAGCAACGCCGCGUGAAUGAUGAAGGUCUUCGGAUGGUAAAGUUCUUUUCUCAGGGACGAAGAAAGUGACGGUACCUGAGGACUAAGCCACGGCUAACUACGUGCCAGCAGCCGCGGGAAUCCGUAGGUGGCAAGCGUUAUCCGGAUUUAUUGGGUGUAAAGGGCGUGUAGGCGGGAGCGCAAGUCAGAUGUGAAAACUCAGGGCUCAACCCUGAGCCUGCAUUUGAAACUGUGUUUCUUGAGUGCUGGAGAGGCAAUCGGAAUUCCGGGUGUAGCGGUGAAAUGCGUAGAUAUACGGAGGAACACCAGUGGCGAAGGCGGAUUGCUGGACAGUAACUGACGCUGAGGCGCGAAAGCGUGGGGAGCAAACAGGAUUAGAUACCCGGGUAGUC
RNAcentral lists this ribosomal RNA (443 nucleotides) under uncultured bacterium. Its description in RNAcentral is "partial 16S ribosomal RNA". It matches the Rfam family "Bacterial small subunit ribosomal RNA", at positions 338 to 795 of the family's 1533-position model. The record is from RNAcentral.